UCUGGUUGAUCCUGCCAGUAGUUAUAUGCUUGUCUCAAAGAUUAAGCCAUGCAUGUCUAAGUACACACGAAUUAAAAGUGAAACCGCAAAAGGCUCAUUAUAUCAGUUAUGGUUCCUUAGAUCGUUAACAGUUACUUGGAUAACUGUGGUAAUUCUAGAGCUAAUACAUGCAAUUAAAACAUGAACCUUAUGGGACAUGUGCUUUUAUUAGGCUAAAACCAAGCGAUCGCAAGAUCGUUAUAUUGGUUGAACUCUAGAUAACAUGCAGAUCGUAUGGUCUUGUACCGACGACAGAUCUUUCAAAUGUCUGCCCUAUCAACUUUUGAUGGUAGUAUCUAGGACUACCAUGGUUGCAACGGGUAACGGGGAAUCAGGGUUCGAUUCCGGAGAGGGAGCCUGAGAAACGGCUACCACAUCUAAGGAAGGCAGCAGGCGCGUAAAUUACCCACUCCCAGCUCGGGGAGGUAGUGACGAAAAAUAACAAUACAGGACUCAUAUCCGAGGCCCUGUAAUUGGAAUGAGUACACUUUAAAUCCUUUAACAAGGACCAAUUGGAGGGCAAGUCUGGUGCCAGCAGCCGCGGUAAUUCCAGCUCCAAUAGCGUAUAUUAAAGUUGUUGCGGUUAAAACGUUCGUAGUUGAACUUGUGCUUCAUACGGGUAGUACAACUUACAAUUGUGGUUAGUACUAUACCUUUAUGUAUGUAAGCGUAUUACCGGUGGAGUUCUUAUAUGUGAUUAAAUACUUGUAUCUUUUCAUAUGUUCCUCCUAUUUAAAAACCUGCAUUAGUGCUCUUAAACGAGUGUUAUUGUGGGCCGGUACUAUUACUUUGAACAAAUUAGAGUGCUUAAAGCAGGCUUCAAAUGCCUGAAUAUUCUGUGCAUGGGAUAAUGAAAUAAGACCUCUGUUCUGCUUUCAUUGGUUUUCAGAUCAAGAGGUAAUGAUUAAUAGAAGCAGUUUGGGGCAUUAGUAUUACGACGCGAGAGGUGAAAUUCUUGGACCGUCGUAAGACUAACUUAAGCGAAAGCAUUUGCCAAAGAUGUUUUCAUUAAUCAAGAACGAAAGUUAGAGGUUCGAAGGCGAUCAGAUACCGCCCUAGUUCUAACCAUAAACGAUGCCAGCUAGCAAUUGGGUGUAGCUACUUUUAUGGCUCUCUCAGUCGCUUCCCGGGAAACCAAAGCUUUUGGGCUCCGGGGAAGUAUGGUUGCAAAGCUGAAACUUAAAGGAAUUGACGGAAGGGCACCACCAGGAGUGGAGCCUGCGGCUUAAUUUGACUCAACACGGGAAAACUUACCAGGUCCGAACAUAAGUGUGUAAGACAGAUUGAUAGCUCUUUCUCGAAUCUAUGGGUGGUGGUGCAUGGCCGUUCUUAGUUCGUGGAGUGAUUUGUCUGGUUAAUUCCGAUAACGAACGAGACUCAAAUAUAUUAAAUAGAUAUCUUCAGGAUUAUGGUGCUGAAGCUUAUGUAGCCUUCAUUCAUGUUGGCAGUAAAAUGCUUAUUGUGUUUGAAUGUGUUUAUGUAAGUGGAGCCGUACCUGUUGGUUUGUCCCAUUAUAAGGACACUAGCUUCUUAAAUGGACAAAUUGCGUCUAGCAAUAAUGAGAUUGAGCAAUAACAGGGUCUGUGAUGCCCUUAGAUGUCCUGGGCUGCACGCGCGCUACAAUGAAAGUAUCAACGUGUAUUUCCUAGACCGAGAGGUCCGGGUAAACCGCUGAACCACUUUCAUGCUUGGGAUUGUGAACUGAAACUGUUCACAUGAACUUGGAAUUCCCAGUAAGUGUGAGUCAUUAACUCGCAUUGAUUACGUCCCUGCCCUUUGUACACACCGCCCGUCGCUACUACCGAUUGAAUUAUUUAGUGAGGUCUCCGGACGUGAUCACUGUGACGCCUUGCGUGUUACGGUUGUUUCGCAAAAGUUGACCGAACUUGAUUAUUUAGAGGAAGUAAAAGUCGUAACAAGGUUUC
RNAcentral lists this ribosomal RNA (1964 nucleotides) under Drosophila melanogaster (fruit fly). RNAcentral describes it as "SSU rRNA". It matches the Rfam family "Eukaryotic small subunit ribosomal RNA". Lineage: Eukaryota; Metazoa; Arthropoda; Insecta; Diptera; Drosophilidae. The record is from RNAcentral.